UACAGAGGGGGCAAGCGUUGUUCGGAAUUACUGGGCGUAGAGGGCGCGUAGGCGGCCUUCUAAGUCAGACGUGAAAUCCCUCGGCUCAACCGGGGAACUGCGUCUGAGACUGGAAGGCUUGAAUCCGGGAGAGGGAUGUGGAAUUCCAGGUGUAGCGGUGAAAUGCGUAGAUAUCUGGAGGAACACCGGUGGCGAAGGCGGCAUCCUGGACCGGUAUUGACGCUGAGGCGCGAAAGCAUGGGGAGCGAACAGG
This 253-nucleotide ribosomal RNA is filed under the name uncultured bacterium. RNAcentral describes it as "partial 16S ribosomal RNA". It matches the Rfam family "Bacterial small subunit ribosomal RNA", at positions 524 to 776 of the family's 1533-position model. The record is from RNAcentral.